This 253-nucleotide ribosomal RNA is filed under the name uncultured bacterium. RNAcentral describes it as "partial 16S ribosomal RNA". It matches the Rfam family "Bacterial small subunit ribosomal RNA", at positions 524 to 776 of the family's 1533-position model. RNAcentral also lists the same sequence under 1 other name. The record is from RNAcentral.
UACAGAGGUCUCAAGCGUUGUUCGGAUUCAUUGGGCGUAAAGGGUGCGUAGGCGGCGCGGUAAGUCGGGUGUGAAAUCUCGGGGCUUAACUCCGAAACUGCAUUCGAUACUGCCGUGCUUGAGGACUGGAGAGGAGACUGGAAUUUACGGUGUAGCGGUGAAAUGCGUAGAUAUCGUAAGGAAGACCAGUGGCGAAGGCGGCUACCUGGACAAUUGCUGACGCUCAGGCACGAAAGCGUGGGGAGCAAAAGGG